RNAcentral lists this ribosomal RNA (433 nucleotides) under uncultured bacterium. Its description in RNAcentral is "partial 16S ribosomal RNA". It matches the Rfam family "Bacterial small subunit ribosomal RNA", at positions 29 to 507 of the family's 1533-position model. The record is from RNAcentral.
AACGAACGCUGGCGGCAUGCCUAACACAUGCAAGUCGAACGAGACCUUCGGGUCUAGUGGCGCACGGGGGCGUAACGCGUGGGAACCUGCCCUUAGGUUCGGAAUAACUCCCCGAAAGGGGUGCUAAUACCGGAUAAUGUCUUCGGACCAAAGAUUUAUCGCCUUCGGAUGGGCCCGCGUUGGAUUAGCUAGUUGGUAGGGUAAAAGCCUACCAAGGCGACGAUCCAUAGCUGGUCUGAGAGGAUGAUCAGCCACACUGGGACUGAGACACGGCCCAGACUCCUACGGGAGGCAGCAGUGGGGAAUAUUGGACGAGGGGCGAAAGCCUGAUCCAGCAAUGCCGCGUGAGUGAUGAAGGCCUUAGGGUUGUAAAGCUCUUUUACCCGGGAUGAUAAUGACAGUACCGGGAGAAUAAGCUCCGGCUAACUCCGUG